GCUGGAUCCCCUCCUUUCUAAGGAUGAUCGGGAUCGGCCAAGCGCCCGCUCCGUCAGGAGCGUUAGGGGCGCCGACGGUCUCCCGAUCGCCAUAGACAAUGCCGGCCGGCGUCCCAACGCCGCGACCGGCGAUCUCAGGCGGGGCCGCCGCCGUCUUCGUUUCUCUUUCUCUUUCUCUUUCUUCUCCCAGCGCUCCUGUGCUAGGGCUCGCGCGCCGCGUCGAUGUCUCGGCGCGACGCGGUUGGAGGCCGGUAGCUCAGGUGGUUAGAGCGCACGCCUGAUAAGCGUGAGGUCGGUGGUUCAAGUCCACCUCGGCCUACCAUGCCGCUGAAGGCCAGCCCCGCCAUUCGGGCGGGUCGGCCAGGCGGUGGAACGCGCCACGGGGCCUUAGCUCAGCUGGGAGAGCGCCUGCUUUGCACGCAGGAGGUCAUCGGUUCGAUCCCGAUAGGCUCCACCACGCGCCCUGCGAGGGGCCGUGGCCGGCUGUGAUGCGGCGCGAGGAGAAAGACCGUCAUUCGCGCACGGCUGUGGCUGUGUGCGGGUCAAACAGACAUGGUGAAGGAGAGUUCGUCCGGGUUCCCGGGUCCGCUCCCCGCGCUUCGGCGCGGUGGGCCCGUGGGAUUGAGAACGGGCGGACUGCUGUAUCGAAUAUCGUUCGAUCGUGGUGUUUGUGUGGGUUUGCGCCCAUGUCGGCCGUGCGCCGGCGGGGCGUUCACCGCACACGAACAUCGCUGAGAA
Molecule: transfer RNA, 738 nt
Filed under: uncultured bacterium
Lineage: Bacteria
Description: partial contains 16S ribosomal RNA, 16S-23S ribosomal RNA intergenic spacer, and 23S ribosomal RNA
Rfam family: tRNA (bases 246-319)
Source: RNAcentral